This 227-nucleotide ribosomal RNA is filed under the name uncultured bacterium. Its description in RNAcentral is "partial 16S ribosomal RNA". It matches the Rfam family "Bacterial small subunit ribosomal RNA", at positions 109 to 334 of the family's 1533-position model. The record is from RNAcentral.
AGUAACACGUAGGGUAAUGUGCCUUUGGUGGGGGAAUAACUUAGGGAAACUUAAGCUAAUACCGCAUAAUGCAGCGGCUCCUAAUGGAGACAGCUGUUAAAGAUUUAUCGCCUAAAGAGCAGCCUGCGGCAGAUUAGCUAGUUGGUAAGGUAAUGGCUUACCAAGGCUACGAUCUGUAUCCGACCUGAGAGGGUGGUCGGACACACUGACACUGAAUAACGGGUCAG